AGGACUCGCUUGAGCUGCACAUGGUGCUGCUGGAACUGGAGGAUAUGGAGAAACAGAUCCGUGGCCUACUCGACAAGCAGGCCCAGCUGCUGGAGUGAAGAACUGUGCUGGAAACAUCUUGUGCUUCUGCCUACACAUCCAAGGUAAGCACGCAGCAUGGUAUUACCACUCCCAGGCUCUCUACGCCAUGUGUUUCUCUGUGCAGGGACCGUGCACCCAAGACCCAAGCAGCGAAAGGUGAGAGCCAUACCCUGGGCGAGGACCUCUCCACCUCUGGUGUUAGAGAUCCUAACCAGGAACCACUUCACCCCUCUCCGUCAGACCAGACCAAACGCUGUGAUCAUUUGGGACUCCAUUGUGCGAAACGUCCGUGUCGCUUUAACAAAGGGUAAGGUGCACACACAUUGUUUUUCUGGUGCUAUUGUCCUUGAUGUCACUGCAAAGGUACCCGGGAUCCUGAAGAAGGACGAGUGGUCGUGCUGCACGCGGGGGCAAAUGACAUCAGGCUGCGGCAGAUGGAGGUUCUGAAGAGGGACUUCGCCAGCCUGAUUGAGACGGUACGAGGCAGAUCAACCACCAUGAAGAUCAUCGUCUCUGGAGCUCUUCCCACAUAGACGUGGAGCUGAAAAGUUCAGUAGACUUCUUGCUUUGAAUGACUGGUUAGUUUCUUGGUGUAAUGAACAGAAUCUGCUGUUUGUUAAUAACUGGAAUCUGUUCUGGGAGCGACCUAGGUUGUUUUGUCCUGAUGGCCUGCACCCCAGCAGCCUUGGAACGGAACUGCUGUCAGACAACAUCUCCAAGAUGCUACACACCAAGUGACUGCCUACUGUUUCUGCCUCUUAACAUCAUAGGGAGUUUUUGCUUGCCACCGUUGCCACCAGCUUGCUCAGUUGGGAUAAAUGCGCACUUUUAAUCUCUGUAUACCGUGUUCAUAUUUAUGUAAAGCUGCUUUGAGACAAUAUCUAUUGUAAAAAGCAAUAUACAAAUAAAAUUGAAUUGAAUUGAAA
Molecule: long non-coding RNA, 1007 nt
Organism: Ictalurus punctatus (channel catfish)
Lineage: Eukaryota; Metazoa; Chordata; Actinopteri; Siluriformes; Ictaluridae
Source: Ensembl